GGUUGCUAUGGAGUUUCGCGCAUUUGCCGUGUCGUGGCUCGUUGCUAUGGAGCACGGUCCACAGCGAACUGCAGUGCCGACAAUUAAACACACGGUGGCAGCAGCGAGCACGGUCCCCAGCGAACUGCAGUGCCAACAAUUAAACACAGGGUGGCAGCAGGGAGCACGGUCCCCAGGGAGCUGCAGUGCCUGCAAUUAAACACAGGGUGGCAGCAGGGAGCACGGUCCCCAGGGAGCUGCAGUGCCGACAAUUAAACACAGGGUGGCAGCAGGGAGCACGGUCCCCAGGGAGCUGCAGUGCCGGCAGUUAAGCACAGGGUGGCAGCAGCGAGCACGGUCCCCAGGGAGUUGCAGUGCCGGCAGUUAAGCACAGGGUGGCAGCAGUGAGCGCUGCGCGCAUGCGUUGGGUCGCUGUGCGGGGGGCGGAGCUGGCGCAUGCGUCCUGCUCUGCCGCCUCGUUACGCAUGCGGGGCCGGGGCCGUGCUGAGAGGCCUGCGGGGGGAAGGCUGCGGCGGCAGCGGCGUGGAGCGGCAGCGGGGCCGGGCCGGGCCGAGGAGGGCUUUGCAGUGCCGGGAGGUGAACUGCUUUGCCCCAGCCCAGCUGCAGAUCUGCACUCAGCCUCAGCCCCAAGCCCUGGCAGGGUGGGAUGCUUUGGUACCAGGCCGUGGAGCUGUUUGAAAUGCAAUUGCUGCUUGCAGCUGGUUCAGAAAUGGAUUUCCUGUGGCUGUGGGGGCAGAAAUGUCUCUGUGGUGAGUUGGUGCCAAGUGCCAGCCUUGCUUAAAGCCUUCUCUUAGGCCUUUCA
This is a long non-coding RNA of Pogoniulus pusillus (Red-fronted tinkerbird), 802 nucleotides long. RefSeq lists it as uncharacterized. Lineage: Eukaryota; Metazoa; Chordata; Aves; Piciformes; Lybiidae. The record is from RefSeq and is a predicted model, not a curated record. The transcript is spliced from 2 exons.